RNAcentral lists this ribosomal RNA (416 nucleotides) under uncultured bacterium. RNAcentral describes it as "bacterial SSU rRNA". It matches the Rfam family "Bacterial small subunit ribosomal RNA", at positions 917 to 1333 of the family's 1533-position model. The record is from RNAcentral.
GGACCCGCACAAGCGGUGGAUGAUGUGGUUUAAUUCGAUGCAACGCGAAAAACCUUACCUACCCUUGACAUGUACGGAACUUGCCAGAGAUGGCUUGGUGCUCGAAAGAGAGCCGUAACACAGGUGCUGCAUGGCUGUCGUCAGCUCGUGUCGUGAGAUGUUGGGUUAAGUCCCGCAACGAGCGCAACCCUUGUCAUUAGUUGCUACAUUUAGUUGGGCACUCUAAUGAGACUGCCGGUGACAAACCGGAGGAAGGUGGGGAUGACGUCAAGUCCUCAUGGCCCUUAUGGGUAGGGCUACACACGUCAUACAAUGGCUGGUACAAAGGGUUGCCAACCCGCGAGGGGGAGCUAAUCCCAUAAAGCCAGUCGUAGUCCGGAUCGUAGUCUGCAACUCGACUGCGUGAAGUCGGAAUC